CUACGGGAUGCACCAGUGAGGAAUAUUGCACAAUGGGGGGAACCCUGAUGCAGCAACGCCGCGUGGAGGAUGACGCAUUUCGGUGUGUAAACUCCUUUUAUAUGUCAAGAAAAUGACGGUAGCAUAUGAAUAAGCACCGGCUAACUCCGUGCCGGCAGCCGCGGUAAUACGGAGGGUGCAAGCGUUACUCGGAAUCACUGGGCGUAAAGGACGCGUAGGCGGGUUGGAAAGUCAGGUGUGAAAUCCUACAGCUUAACUGUAGAACUGCACUUGAAACUUCUAAUCUAGAGUAUGGGAGGGGGAGAUGGAAUUAGUGGUGUAGGGGUAAAAUCCGUAGAUAUCACUAGGAAUACCUAAAGCGAAGGCGAUCUCCUGGAACAUUACUGACGCUAAGGCGUGAAAGCGUGGGGAGCAAACAGGAGUAGAUACCCCAGUAGUC
This 439-nucleotide ribosomal RNA is filed under the name uncultured bacterium. RNAcentral describes it as "partial 16S ribosomal RNA". It matches the Rfam family "Bacterial small subunit ribosomal RNA", at positions 339 to 795 of the family's 1533-position model. The record is from RNAcentral.